Non-coding RNA from Pogona vitticeps (central bearded dragon), 337 nucleotides. The record is from RefSeq and is a predicted model, not a curated record. NCBI's taxonomy places the organism in Eukaryota, Metazoa, Chordata, Lepidosauria, Squamata, Agamidae.
AUACUGAAUAAGGUUUGCUUGGUAACGUCACUAGAUUUUAUUUUGAAUCUCUAAGCCAGGGGCUUCUACUGAAAAAGAGCUGUGCAAGACACCCCCGGCAGUAGCAAGGAAGCCCUCGGAGGGCUUUGGCAGUGGCGAUGGUGGCAAGCGGAGACCCCCGUGAGGCCUCCAGCAGCGGCGGGGAAGCCCUCAGAGGGCUUUGGCAGCAGCGAGGGACCCCUUUGGACUGCAAGGAGCUUCAUAUGUGAGUUCCUGGAGAUUGCUUCUUCUGCAAAGACACCUCACCUAAAGACAAUAUGCUAACAGUUAGAACCUACAUGUAUCCCUAUAUACAUAA